This 71-nucleotide transfer RNA is filed under the name Sphaerochaeta sp. RNAcentral's name for it is "tRNA-Ala(cgc)". It matches the Rfam family "tRNA". From Rfam's summary of the family: Transfer RNA (tRNA) molecules are approximately 80 nucleotides in length. Their secondary structure includes four short double-helical elements and three loops (D, anti-codon, and T loops). Further hydrogen bonds mediate the characteristic L-shaped molecular structure. tRNAs have two regions of fundamental functional importance: the anti-codon, which is responsible for specific mRNA codon recognition, and the 3' end, to which the tRNAs corresponding amino acid is attached (by aminoacyl-tRNA synthetases). tRNAs cope with the degeneracy of the genetic code in two manners: having more than one tRNA (with a specific anti-codon) for a particular amino acid; and 'wobble' base-pairing, i.e. permitting non-standard base-pairing at the 3rd anti-codon position. RNAcentral also lists the same sequence under 1 other name. Lineage: Bacteria; Pseudomonadati; Spirochaetota; Spirochaetia; Spirochaetales; Sphaerochaetaceae. The record is from RNAcentral.
GGGGCCAUGGUACAGUGGUAGAACGGCGCUUUCGCAUGGCGCAGACGGCGGUCCGAUUCCGCUUGGCUCCA